RNAcentral lists this ribosomal RNA (879 nucleotides) under Paratylenchus sp. Ge16 PRS-2020. RNAcentral describes it as "SSU rRNA". It matches the Rfam family "Eukaryotic small subunit ribosomal RNA", at positions 58 to 948 of the family's 1831-position model. The record is from RNAcentral. Lineage: Eukaryota; Metazoa; Nematoda; Chromadorea; Rhabditida; Tylenchulidae.
UCUAAGUACAAACCUCUUGAAGGUGAAACCGCGAACGGCUCAUUAGAACAGCUAUAAUUUACUUGAUCUUGAACAGUUACUCGGAUAACUGUGGUAAUUCUAGAGCUAAUACGUGCACCAAAGCUGUUCCCUCGGGAGCAGUGCAUUUAUUUGAGCAAAACCAAACGGCUUCGGCCGUCUUUGGUGAACCAGAAUAACUAAGCUGAUCGCAUGGGCUUGUCCCGGCGACGUGUCUUUCAAGUGUCUGCCUUAUCAACUUUCGAUGGUAGUGUAUAGGACUACCAUGGUGUUGACGGGUAACGGAGGAUAAGGGUUCGACUCCGGAGAAGGGGCCUGAGAAAUGGCCACUACGUCUAAGGAUGGCAGCAGGCGCGCAAAUUACCCACUCUCAGUUCGAGGAGGUAGUGACGAAAAAUAACAAGGCCGUUCUCUUUGAGGCCGGCCAUUGGAAUGGGUACAACUUAAACCCUUUAACGAGUAUCAAUGAGAGGGCAAGUCUGGUGCCAGCAGCCGCGGUAAUUCCAGCUCUCAAAGUGCAUAGAACCAUUGCUGCGGUUAAAAAGCUCGUAGUUGGAUCUGUGCUCGUGACGUGGUCCUCUCGCAAGAGUGGUACUGCGCUCACGGGCUUUGGACCGGUCUUCGCGGUCGGUAGCCUUGAUUGGUUGCCGCUCGUGGCUGGUUGGUUUACUUUGAGCAAAUCAGAGUGCUCAGCACAGGCGUCUAGCCGGAAUGUUCGUGCAUGGAAUAAUAGAAAAGGAUUUCGGUCCUCUUUUGUUGGUUUUGUGGACUGAGAUAAUGGUUAACAGAGACGACCGGGGGCAUUCGUAUUGCUGCGUGAGAGGUGAAAUUCUUGGACCGCAGCAGGACGAACUACAGCGA